UGAAACUUUUAGGGGUGCUGUUGUUGUAGAAACAAAGGCUGAGAAAAACCCUCAUAACCUGAUACAGAUAAUACUGACGAAGGGAAAAAGUGUCGAAUCUUA
RNAcentral lists this non-coding RNA (102 nucleotides) under Fluviicola sp. RNAcentral describes it as "TPP sequence". It matches the Rfam family "TPP riboswitch aptamer (THI element)". From Rfam's summary of the family: Vitamin B(1) in its active form thiamin pyrophosphate (TPP) is an essential coenzyme that is synthesised by coupling of pyrimidine and thiazole moieties in bacteria. The previously detected thiamin-regulatory element, thi box was extended, resulting in a new, highly conserved RNA secondary structure, the THI element, which is widely distributed in eubacteria and also occurs in some archaea. The record is from RNAcentral. Lineage: Bacteria; Pseudomonadati; Bacteroidota; Flavobacteriia; Flavobacteriales; Crocinitomicaceae.